AUGGCGACCGUGGCGGCAGGGAGCAGGAGGAGCGGCCGGAGCCGCAAGCCCCUCGCGCCGGUGCUCGACAACGACGCCAACAUCUCCGCCGGAAGGGCCGACCUCGCCGGAGCCCUAACUCCGCAGCCGCACAAGGCCAGGAGGACGUCGCCCAAGAUGCGCAAGGCGGAGGUGGCCCAGACGUCCCCGGUAGCCGACGAGACGAUGGGAACGCCUCCCGCCCAGGACCACGCCGCCGACGUCUCCGUUGGGAAGGCAGAUGUCGCCACGGCACCCGCCUCGACACAGAAGGUGAAGAGGGCGACAUCCAAGCGCGGCCAGGCCAAGGCGGCGGCACCGUCGAUGGCCGACGAGCUGACGGAGCUGCAGGGGAUGCUAAAGCGGCUGCGGCUGGAGAAGGAGAGGGCGGAGGAGAUGGUGCGGGAGCGGGACGAGGUCAUCCGGCAGAAGGAGCAGGAGAUCGAGACCAAGGGCAAGCAGCAGGAGCGCCUCCAGGCCGAGCUCAGGAAGAUGCAGCGCGUCAAGGUGUUCGAGCCCACCAUGAACCUUCCUCUCGUCCAGUCUCUUCUCGGCAAGGACCAGGAAGGAGAUGACAAGGGCAAGAAGAAGAAGAAGAAGAAGGGGAAAGGCAAGGCCGGCAAUGAGAGGAAGAAGCCAGCACCGGCGUACAUUCUGUGGUGCAAAGACCAGUGGGCGGAGAUCAAGAAGAGCCCCGAUGCAGACUUCAAGGAGGUGUCGAACGCCCUGGGCGCCAAAUGGAAGACCCUGAGCAGCGAGGAGAAGCAGCCGUACGAGGAGAGGUACCGGCAGGAGAAGGAGGCCUACCUGCAGGUGGUUGGCCAGGAGAAGCGCGAGGCCGAGGCGAUGAAGCUGCUGGACGAAGAGCAGAUGCGCUGGACGGCGAAAGAAUUGCUGGAACAGUACCUCAAGUUCAGGCAGGAGGCCGAGGAGGGAGACGGCAACAGCAAGAAGGCAAAGAACAAGAUGAAGAAGGAGAAGGAUCCCUCCAAGCCGAAGCAGCCCAUGUCGGCCUACUUCCUCUACUCGCAGGAGAGGCGUGCCGCGCUGGCUGCCGAGAAGAAAAGUGUCCCUGAGACUGGCAAGAUCACUGGGGAAGAGUGGAAGGGCAUGACGGAGGCCCAGAAGGCUCCUUACGAGGAGGCUGCGAGGAAGCAGAAGGAGGAACACCAGAAGCAGAUGGAGGUGUACAAGCAGAAGAAGCUUGAGGAAAAUGCGAGCUUAGAGAAGGAAGAAGAGGAGCAGAAGAAAAUCCUCAAGCAGGAGGCUCUGCAGCUUCUCAGGAAGAAGGAGAAGGCAGACAACAUCAUCAAGAAAAUCAAAGAGAAGCGUCAGAGGAAGAAGCAGCAGCAGAACGCCGACCCGAACAGGCCCAAGAGGCCCGCGUCUUCCUUCCUGCUCUUCAGCAAGGAGGCGAGGAAGCAGCUGGUGGAGGAGCGCCCCGGGGUGAACAACACGACGCUGAGCGCGCUCAUCUCGGUGAAGUGGAAGGAUCUGACCGGCGCAGAGAAGAAGGUGUGGAGCGAGAAAGCGGCCCAAGGGAUGGCCGCGUACAAGAGGGAGAUGGAGGAGUACACCAAAGCUCACACCUCCGCCUCCUCAUCACCUGUUGCUUAG
This 1635-nucleotide ribosomal RNA is filed under the name Triticum aestivum (bread wheat). RNAcentral's name for it is "partial small subunit ribosomal RNA". The record is from RNAcentral. Lineage: Eukaryota; Viridiplantae; Streptophyta; Magnoliopsida; Poales; Poaceae.